AGGGGUGUAGCUCAGUUGGUAGAGCAGCGGUCUCCAAAACCGCGGGUCGGGCGUUCGAGUCGCUCCACCCCUGCCA
RNAcentral lists this transfer RNA (76 nucleotides) under Chloroflexota bacterium. RNAcentral's name for it is "Chloroflexi bacterium tRNA-Trp". It matches the Rfam family "tRNA". Rfam says of the family: Transfer RNA (tRNA) molecules are approximately 80 nucleotides in length. Their secondary structure includes four short double-helical elements and three loops (D, anti-codon, and T loops). RNAcentral also lists the same sequence under 5 other names. The record is from RNAcentral. Lineage: Bacteria; Bacillati; Chloroflexota.